This 274-nucleotide ribosomal RNA is filed under the name uncultured bacterium. RNAcentral describes it as "partial 16S ribosomal RNA". It matches the Rfam family "Bacterial small subunit ribosomal RNA", at positions 523 to 796 of the family's 1533-position model. The record is from RNAcentral.
AUACGGAGGGUGCAAGCGUUACUCGGAAUCACUGGGCGUAAAGCGCGCGCAGGCGGCUUGAUAAGUUGGAUGUGAAAGCCUACGGCUCAACCGUAGAACUGCAUCCAAAACUGUCAAGCUAGAGUCUGGGAGGGGAAGAUGGAAUUAGUUGUGUAGGGGUAAAAUCCGUAGAGAUAACUAGGAAUACAAAAAGCGAAGGCGAUCUUCUGGAACAGUACUGACGCUGAGGCGCGAAAGCGUGGGGAGCAAACAGGAUUAGAAACCCUAGUAGUCC